Long non-coding RNA from Populus trichocarpa (black cottonwood), 2215 nucleotides. RefSeq lists it as uncharacterized. The transcript has 2 exons. Lineage: Eukaryota; Viridiplantae; Streptophyta; Magnoliopsida; Malpighiales; Salicaceae. The record is from RefSeq and is a predicted model, not a curated record.
AGCUGCAAAACCGUGUUGGUUUGGACACCUAAAGAGAGAGACUGAGGUAAGUUCCUGUCUUAUCUCCUUCUUCAUUUUCGUUUUUUUAGAUGAAAAAUUGCAUGUCUGUGCAGCUGCAUGAUCAAUUACUGUGUGUUCUGCAAUUGUUGAAUUGAUCUACAAAUUUCAUUGUUGUUGCUGUUUGUCUUUUGUUUACUGUGCCUUUGUCAAUUGUUUUGAAUUUAGCAAAUUUCAUUGCUUCUCUGUACUGCUUUUCAUGACCCGUAUUGUGUGUUCUUAACUUUUUUUACUUGAGCUAAACCUGCAUUUAUGUGCUGCUUCAUGGUCUAGUAUGUUAACUGUGCACAUUGAUGUUGUUUCUGCUUGAGCAACCGUGGAUUUCUUUACUGUGCGUGUGUUUAUAGUAAUUGUAAUGAGUGACCUGCUAGCAUGUCGUGUAGGAUUACUUUGAUUUCUACUUUUGAAGUCAAAAUUAGAACUUUGAGUUUGCAUUUGUAUGUUUGUAUGCUACGAAAGAAAGCUGUGUUACUUUAAAUGUAGAAAUAAAUUCUUGACUUUUUAUUUUUUCCCCCUUUGUUUUUAGCAUCCAAACAACAUGAUGACAAUGAUGUUUUGCUUGAUAAUUCAAAUAUUAUAUCAUGGCUGAAACUGAGUUUUCUGAACAGUUGAAAAUUAAUGGGUUUCAAUUAGUUUUCAUUACAAAUUAACGGGAACAUUCUCAUUCAAAUAAAUUCAUGGUUAAUGUUUGUUGCUAACCACACAGCUUUUGUAAAUGCUAAACAUUGAGUGUUUUAUUAUUGAUUGAGUCCACGGUUUAUAUAUGUGCCACAAUGUAAUUGAUAUCAUUGAUUGAUUUUAAACUUUUGUUAAAUGUGUUAAAAGAUAUCAUGGAAGGUCUUGAAUCUUUCGAUAAGGCUGCUUAGACAAAGGAAAUGUUGCAUAUAUUUUGUGAUAUAUGCAUUAAGGCAAUUGAUAUGGGAAUGAGACCUAAUACUCAUUUCGAUAAAAUGGGGUGGAAAUUUCUUAUAACAUCAUUCAAAGAACAAACUGGCCAUGCAUUCACUAAAACACAAUUGAAAAACAAAUGGGAUGGAUGCAAAAAGGAUUGGAGGAUAUGGAAUAAGCUGGUUUCUGAAACUGGUGUUGGCUGAAUUAGGCAUAAUUUUAGCUAGCGAUGAGUGGUGGAAACAAAAAAUUCAGGUACAUUCCUUGUCAUCCUAACAUUUCUUUUAUUAUUGUCAAAUUCCAACACUGAAAUUUUACUAGUCUUGAUCCUUCAAUACUUGAUUUUAUUUAAAUACAGGAAAUAAAAGGAGCCAAAAAAUUCAGACAUGUCGGUAUUGAGCUGUCUUUGAAGAAUAAAUUUGACCGAAUGUAUUCCAACAAUGUCGCAACUGGAGCGUUUGCAUGGGCUCCUUCAUCAGGACUACCUGCUGGCAGUGAUGUCGAUCCUGGUACAAGCAAUGCCGACAUUGAUCGUGAUGGUUUGGAAGAAGGAAGCGGUGAUUCAGAGGAAGAUGUGAUUCCAGAUUUUCAGAUUGACAUGGCUCGAAUGGUUGGAGGGAUAAAUAUGUCUAGCAGCAGCAACACAAAAAGCGGUGUCAAAAGAAAAGGACGAGAUCCUUAGAGGUGCGAGGUAGAAAGAAGAAAACAUCUGGAAUUGGUGUCCAGCUGCUGUCAAGGUGCAAUCAACUACUUGAGAGUAUGUCGACUAAGAGUGAUUCCACGUCUGUUAAUAUGGAUCGCGAAGGUUGUAGUAUUCGCAAGGUGAUGGAUGAGCUGCACUCAAUUCCUAGAGUUUCAAUUGAAGAUGAGUUCCAUGACUUUGUUACAGAGUAUUUGAGUUUAAGAAGGAAAAGAGAAAUGUGGGCUAGUAUGGGUGAUAAGGAGCAGAAGUUAAGAUGGUUGCAACGAAUGUAUGCACGCACUAAACGUGCUUAGCUGACAUGAAUAAUGGGAUGCUGGUUUUAAAAAAGAGUAUUUUCCAAUUGCCGAAGUUUAUCCGAGUCAUUGUAUUCUUUCACAUUUCGUGUUGAGAUGUAUGGGCAUUUCCAUUUGCGGUAAUUUGUUUACUGUUGUAUUUAUAUUAAACUGCUUUCGGGAGUUAAUAUACUUGUAUGAGAAUAUUGUUGGUUUUUAAUGUUGUAUUUUAUCAAUGAAUUAAAACUGUCACUUCGGUUUUUAUUAAUGUUAAAUGGUUGACCCUUGGAUGGAA